Molecule: ribosomal RNA, 459 nt
Filed under: uncultured bacterium
Lineage: Bacteria
Description: partial 16S ribosomal RNA
Rfam family: Bacterial small subunit ribosomal RNA
Source: RNAcentral
CCUACGGGAGGCAGCAGUGAGGAAUAUUGGUCAAUGGCCGAGAGGCUGAACCAGCCAAGUCGCGUGAGUGAAGAAUGUCCUAUGGAUUGUAAACCUCUUUUGUCAGGGAGCAAAGUCACCCACGUGUGGGUGUUGGAGAGUACCUGAAGAAAAAGCAUCGGCUAACCCCGGUCCAGCAGCCGCGGUAAUACGGGGGAUGCGAGCGUUAUCCGGAUCUAGUGGGUUUAAGGGGUGCGGGGGGGGGUUAUAACGUCAGCGGUAAAAUCGUGGAGCUAAACUCCAUCCAGCCGUGGAAACUGAUGAUCUGGAGUGGGCGAGAAGUAUGCGGAAUGCGUGGUGUAGCGGUGAAAUGCGUAGAUAUCACGAAGAACUCCGGUUGCGAAGGCGGCAGACCGGCGCCCGGCUGACGCUGAGGCACGAAAGCGUGGGUAUCGAACAGGAUUAGAUACCCGUGUAGUC